AAAAUCAGCCAUUAGUAGGGAUUGAGUUUCCUUGAUUCAAGAAAUGCGAGUGGGAAGUUACAAUUUGAGAGGACUGAGGGAAUCAAACCCAUAUUACAAGCUCUGGAGGAGAUCGAAAAAAGAAAAGGCAAAAACAUCUGGUGAAUCAAAAGAAUCAGGGCCAAAAUUAGCCCCAUUUGAAUUUCCAUGCUCAUCCCACCAACAACCCUACAAGAAUAACAAUUCAUAUGAACCUCACAAACAUCAAUAGCUCUAACAAUAUUUCCCCAAAAUUAAGACUUUCUAAAAUCUCAAGCACACCUGCUAUCAAAACCGUCGUAACAAGUAAAAGAAAGAAAUACCACCUUUGAGCAUGACGUCAAAAAAAGGAAAAGAUGAGAGGAGAAAGGGGUAGAAGGAAAAGAAACUGGAGAUUGGAAGACGCUUAAAUGC
RNAcentral lists this long non-coding RNA (432 nucleotides) under Nicotiana benthamiana. Its description in RNAcentral is "long non-coding RNA (NBEN_LNC009759)". The record is from RNAcentral. Lineage: Eukaryota; Viridiplantae; Streptophyta; Magnoliopsida; Solanales; Solanaceae.